AAACCCAUCCACUUUUCUAGCUUGAUAGCCACUCCUUUUAGUAUUGCCGAAAUCUUGUUUCGACACCGUUCAACCUUCCUAAAGAUAUCUGAGUUGGGCAGUAGCGACGUUAAUGUCCUAGGGGAAAUCGUUUUGUGCCUGUGAUAUGUAAUGGAAGCUAGUGUCCCUAGCGCAAACAUGGAUGUUUAGUUUCUGCUGUUAUGUGUUUUUUUUUUCUGUUUUUUCUGUAUCAGACUAUGUUUCUGUUCUGGGCCUGUGUUUCAGACUGGGUGAGUAAAAUUACCUGCUGUCAAAAAAAAAAUCCAUCUGCAGACUCCACUGAAAACGUUAAUCCACAUGUUGCCAGUAUCCCACACAAAUGAGUUACUCUGUGUUCACAGAGAGGAUGUCCUUAUAGUGUAAUAUAUGGUUUGGCAUGCAAAAUAUUUGGUCAUGUGGACAUUCAGUGGGAUAACAUAGUAUUUAUGUAUUGUGGUCUGUGUAGAUCUUUGAGUCCAUGUAGCUAAUAAGAUGCUACAUCUUGUUCACAAUACUUUCCCAUGUGUGUACAACUUAUGCUUGUGGCUUGUCGGCUACCAGGAAAUUUUAAUGCAAAAUUCACUUUCUUCGAAGUAUUGUGUGUCACCUCUCGCAGUCCCUGUGUGGUAUAUAUGGGGGAUCAUAAAAUUUCUUAUGUCAGAUCUGUGGAUGGAAUUCUUUAUAAGGAACAACGAUGUUAGUUUUGAUAAAGUCUCUCUACUAACAACUACUAGCAUGUGAAUGAAGACCGGCCCUUACUUUCCUGCCCGGGAAAAGCCAUUCAGAAAAGCAAGUAUCUCUUCUUUAUGUGCAUUCUUUCUUUAGUACCUUGUGUAAGACACUAUAUACACUCCUUGUACAAGUGAAAAUUAUAUUAGGUUAUGGGCAGUCAUAAUCAGUUCUGGUAUAUAAGAAUCUCGAGAAAAUAUUUUCCUAGUUCAUGGUCAUUGUAAGCAUUCCUUUCUCUAUGCAUGAGCCUCUUUUCAACUUUCUCUUUCCUAGGAGAUGGAAUUUAGGGUUGGAAGACAUCUGGAAUGGAAGUAAAACCAUAUGUGGACGAGGGGAUGGAUGGAUACAUCUAUAUUGGAUCAGCAAGGGGUAGUGAUGGAGCAUGCCUAAAAAAAAUUGGUGGGUCAGGCAUGGCGCAACAGUCAAUGGUGUUCCUAAAUUCAUGCUAGUUGGUACACCGUACACCAGGUAGCACGAGUAUUUCUAAAUGUUUUAGGCUAUAGGUCGUAGCAUGUGUAUUCCUAAUUGUUUUAAGCUAUAUUAAUUAUAGUAUUACUUGAUAUUCGAAGUACUAGUAUAUACCUUACCCCCGGUAAUUUUUGUUAUAGGUUCGUCAUUGGUGGAAGUGUGCAGCUAGCGCUAGGGGCUAAAUUCCUCGUUGCGAUGGUGGGCGGCUCAGUGGUUGCGUUGAUCGUUGAGCUAUUUGAGUUGGAGGCUCUUGAGAUAGGCAGAGCAUCUGUAGUAUAUCAUGCAUGCAUCGGUACUAAAGGUGGGACCCAUGUCAGAUAUAGCACCUCGUGAGAACUGAUGCGAUGUAUAAAGUUGGCAAAGGUACUUAUUGUGGGUCCCACAUAGAUUAAAAUAAGAUAAAGAAAACCCAUCAUCUCUCUCAUACAUGCAGACCAAAGACACAAUUUGACUGAUGCGUGGGCCCUGUCAUAUGCUCUUUCUAGUAGAAUCGGGUUCUAUGACUAGUACCCAGCUCUUGCUUGAGACCGGCUAAAAAACAUAUCAUAAUGUGUGGAUGCGGCUGUAUCCUUUUCUCUCUCUUCUAGUGCCUCCUCUAAGUGAAACACUGUGUAUGCUCUCAGGAGCCUGUCGAUGGUAUCACACUACAACAUCAAGCCAUUAAUUCAAUGUGAUGCUCACCAAGAACUAGCUAGGAAGCCCUCUUUCUCUCAGAUACAGGGUUUCCCAAACCGCCGGGGCCGGGGUUACCGCGCCCCGGCGGUAAGCACGGUUACCGCACUGUAACCGUGAAAACCGUACAAAACCGUGCAAAAUUUAUCAAAAAUUCAAAUUAUUUUUUAAAUUUAUUUGAAUUUAAGGAGGUUACCGCGGUAUUUAUAUUACUGUACCCCGCGGUAAGCAUGGUAAGCAUGGUAACCGCACGGUUGCCGGCAGUAACGUAAACCCUGCACGGUUGCCGGCAGUAACGUAAACCCUGCUCAGAUAUAGGAAUUUAUGUGUAGCCACUGCACAAAUACCACUUAAUUUGAAACUUAAUUGGCAAUAGUUUCAGCAAGUGAUUGAAUUUAGCUCAUGGGAGAUGGCAUGUCUAAGGUUUCGUUAAGUAUCAAUAACUGAUAGAUCAAUGAGAUUAGGUGCCAUGAUUGAAUUUCAGUAAAUCGCCAGGAAAGAUGCACGCAUGAACAGACCAUCGUUCACUUGGUUAUGUUGCAACUAGACAAUAGAGCAAAACACACCGGGGUGGGGGGUUAAGAACAUUACGUUCACAACUUCACAUAUUGAAGCUUCAUUUCACGGAUGAUAAAUUACCUUUCUCAACUAUUUAAAUUGAUGGGAUGAAUCGACAAAUGGGAUAUAUACUAAUACUUUGUUCUCCCUGUGAUUAUUCACUGGAUAAAUAAUUUAGUUGGCUUUUAGGAAAAUUUGUAGAACCGCACUAGUCAAUGCUAGCUAAACUAUGAUCUUAAGAACCUUUACAUUUUUCUACCGAUUCAUAAGUGGGCACCACAACACCAGAAUUACAUUUAUCUAAAAACAACUAUAUAUACUAUUCCCCGUGCAAAAAAAUAAAAAACUAUACUAUUUAUCACAGCAUCACUGCAGCACAUGAUGUGGUAGGCCCAGGACUACCCUAGAAUUUGGCCUAGAGAAGACCAGGUAUUCAUUUUUCUUGGCCCAUGAAAAAAGCCUGGUCCAACAAAUAAAAAAAACCGUAAUUCUCUCUCUCCCGUGCACUCUCCCCUCCCAGCCUCCACUCCCUCCCAACAGACAAGCAACGGCGACGGCGCUCCCACGACCUGCAUGGCUGGCGCGACUCCGGCGCUCCCGCCGUCCUGCGAGGCCCCUAUGCGCGCCGCCACUCCUCCCGUCCGUCCGGCUCCCACUAGGCGCUCGCGCCCAGCCGUGGCGCCCGGCGGCGCCGCUACCUUCGCGUGCCACACUGGCGCCGGCGCGGCCGCGCCCUCUCCACGACUCCGCGUCUCCGGCUCUUCGCCCCUGGCCAGCUGGCCACACCCUCUCUGUCCCGCGUUCAGCCGUCACCCACUCGCCCGGCCUCCUGGGCUCCCGGCUGACCAGCUCCUGGCCUCCCGGCUCCCGCGGUCUCGGUGUCCGGCCCGACAACGCUAGUGCCCAGCCACCCAAGCCGGCAGGCCCCAGCCGCCGUCCGCCCGUCCGGCCAGUGCUAGUGCACUAGUGCGCCACUCCCUCUCCGGACUCCGGAGAUUGAGGCAUGGAGAAGUCAAGCAUUGCGUUGCUUUUUCAGAAGCAUGAAGCAAAAAAAGUUGCAUCUUGUGAUAUACCAAUCCCAUAUAUGGAUGAAGGGUCGUCUGUUCGUGCUGUAGAUGAUGCUCUAAUUGAUGAAGACGUAAACGUUGUUGACGAAAGGUCAUGUGAAGAACAAGAACACCUCCACCUCCAAAUGUUCUUCAUUUAGGUUGCUAGAGUUACAAUUUAGGACUGGGAGAUGUCAGGAAUAGACACUGCAGGAUUUUGUGUCAUGUAACAAUAUGUCGAAGGCAUUGAAAGUUGUGAUGCUUUCAUGACUGCUCACCUAAUUCGUUGGUUCCAUUACAAGUAAGUGGCAUGUUCGGCUGCUUUGUACCGUCGUUGCGCUGCCACAGCCAGAAGAAACAACACACUGUUCUUGUUGGCUACAGCACAGCAAAAAUAAGAGCAGCCGACCAGAGCCAAGAAUGAAGAUCCAUGUAGAAAAAGAAGUACAAUGGCAUGCUGGAACAGAAAACGACUGUAACCAAGCACUCAUAACCCAACCUAAAUUAAAAAAAAAAUUGCCGCCAGAAAUUCUUAUUAGUGCUAGUUCUAGCCACGAUUCGGCAAUGGUAAGUGCCUCAUGUAACGUUCCGCUUUUCGUGAGUCGUUAAAAACUAAUUCGGCAAAAUCCUAUAUGUGAAAAUUUCGUUCUUUGUGUGAGAGUAUAAGUUGUGCCAAGAUCUCAAUUCAAAUCUCCAUUGUUGUUCCCUCUCGUCGCCAUCAAAAUCCUCCACCUCAAGAUUCCAAUUCCAAUUCAAUUUAUUCCAAAGGUCAAUCGCCUCCUUUGAAUCAUCGCCAAAUACUUGUCCCGAUUCCACAAAUAUCCGAGUCCACCUUAAAUCCAUUCCUUGAUUCCUCCCUGAACCCUCGAGUUCGGAUAUCGAAUUUGAAUCCAAAUCCAAACUCCAAUUCUCUCCAAUUCAAUUUCUC
Long non-coding RNA from Oryza sativa Japonica Group (Japanese rice), 4419 nucleotides. RefSeq lists it as uncharacterized. The record is from RefSeq and is a predicted model, not a curated record. Lineage: Eukaryota; Viridiplantae; Streptophyta; Magnoliopsida; Poales; Poaceae.